CUCGUCUGGAGCUUAAGGGUCGGCUAACUCCGUGCCAGCAGCCGCGGUAAUCCGGAGGAUCCAAGCGUUAUCCGGAAUCAUUGGUUUUAAAGGGUCCGUGGGUGGAUGAUUAACUCAGAGGUGAAAUCCUGCCGCUCAACUGUUCAAUUGCCUUUGAUACUGGUUGUCUUGAAUUAUUGUGAAGUAUUUAUAAUAUGUGGUGUAUCGGUGAAAUGCAUAGAUAUCACAUAUAAUACCGAUUGCGAAGGCAGAUUACUAACAAUACAUUGACACUGAUGGACGAAAGCGUGGGGAGCGAACAGGAUUAGAUACCCUGGUAGUCCACGCCGUAAACGAUGGAUACCAGCUGUUCGGAUUUAUCUGAGUGGCUAAUCGAAAGUGAUAAGUAUCCCACCUGGGGAGUUCUUUCGCCAGAAUGAAACUCACAGGAAUUUGCGGCUCAAAGGAAUUGA
RNAcentral lists this ribosomal RNA (452 nucleotides) under uncultured marine bacterium. RNAcentral's name for it is "bacterial SSU rRNA". It matches the Rfam family "Bacterial small subunit ribosomal RNA", at positions 474 to 932 of the family's 1533-position model. The record is from RNAcentral.